AGUCCUUCGCCGUCCCUCGCCGUCCUUCGCCAUCGCACGCCACCGCACCCCAUCUCUCGAAAUCUGCAGACAUCUUGAUUUUUCCCACGCUGUCUGUCAGGUCUCCGCCGCCACUCGACGCCAGGGCGCCGGGCCUUGUGGGCUGUGCUGCACCUCGGACGGCUUCGCACCAGCCAGCGCCCUCUCUCUCCUGCAGCACUCUGAUCUGCACCCCCUGAGGGGCUUCCACUGUCCGCGGGGUGAGAAUGCCCCUGGGAGUGUCACAUGACUGCCGCCCCAUGUGUGUGAGAGGCGUCCUCUGGGAGAGCAUGGAUCCUGAGGUCCCAGGAUUGUCAGCUGACCUCUGUCCUGUGUGCCCAGUGGCCCCAGGUGACGUGUCUUCAAGAAGAGGCUGAGCUGCGGUGCUUGUAAGGCAGGGUCUCAUUCUGUCACCCAGGCUGGAGUGCAGUGGUGCAAUGAUGGCUCACUGCAGCCUCGACCUGGGCUCAAGUGAUCCUCCACCUCAGCUUCCUGAGUAGCUGGGACCACAGAGUCAUGUGCUGUUCCUGGGGCUUGGAUGAUGUAGGGGAAGCAAGGUGAAAGUGGUAUCCCGUGGUUCCACGUUCUGUCCUGCUGUGGGGCUGUCCCUCACAUGCUUUCAGUGGCUGUUGCAGAGGAAGAGCCUCCGGAAAUCUGCGUCUCAGCCUUAGAUCCAAGGACAGUCCAAGGAAGUCCUAAGACCAUGGAGUUGGUGAUCUGGGAUCUGGGUUUGCUGAUAUUUCUCACCGUGAAUCUCUUGGUGGUGUUUGUGGGCACGAGAGGGGCAGAGAAUGGAGAGUGAGGCUACCACAUGAAGCGUCACCAGAGCUGCUCCCUGCUGCCUGCUCAGAGCACCCCGGAUCCACUGUUCAAUCUGCACAAGAUUCGGGGUCCAGACAUGGGAGACUUCAGCUGCCUCAGAGGACCGUGGACAGGGAAGGCCAGCCUCGCAUCCCUCUGUCCAUGCCUGGAAUGACUUUAAUAACCAAGAGUUUUAUUUUUGAAUUUGUAGCUGUCGUUCACUUUUUACCCACCCAUUCAAUAAACCUUACAGAAUUGCUCCA
RNAcentral lists this long non-coding RNA (1082 nucleotides) under Homo sapiens (human). Its description in RNAcentral is "small nucleolar RNA host gene 17, transcript variant 27 (SNHG17)". The record is from RNAcentral. Lineage: Eukaryota; Metazoa; Chordata; Mammalia; Primates; Hominidae.